This is a long non-coding RNA of Cervus elaphus (red deer), 418 nucleotides long. RefSeq lists it as uncharacterized. NCBI's taxonomy places the organism in Eukaryota, Metazoa, Chordata, Mammalia, Artiodactyla, Cervidae. The record is from RefSeq and is a predicted model, not a curated record. The transcript has 3 exons.
AGGGAAGAGAGGCAGUCGUAGGGUGGGGGCCACAUUCCACUGGCGGGAAAACUAGAAGGUCCUUCUCUUAGGAAGAGCUGAUGCUCUAAUUCCCUACACCUGCCAGGCAGAACAGAGUGAUCUCCUCUACCUGGCAACAAGCAUGGUGUGAGAGCCCCAGCUUUCCAACUGAACCCAGCAAAAGAGGAGCUACACCCAGUUUCGUGUAUCAGUUUCAGGGAAGGACUAUGAUGGGCUCUGCUGAACUGACACGCCUCUGCUUUCACCCCUGAACCUGUUGGCAGAGGAAUAAGGAGCUAAUGGCUGCCCAGAUACACCCCACUUCCCAGCCUCCCCUGCGGUCGGGGUGUUCAUGUGACAAAUACUCUCCAGUGGAAAGUGAUUAGAAGAGAUAAGAGCCACAGCAGCAAGACCUUCA